Molecule: long non-coding RNA, 1335 nt
Filed under: Pan troglodytes (chimpanzee)
Lineage: Eukaryota; Metazoa; Chordata; Mammalia; Primates; Hominidae
Description: long non-coding RNA NONPTRT009513
Source: RNAcentral
GCACCGCACAGGGGACGGGCACGGCAAGCAUGGUUCAUCGGGGCUGUCACUGCAGCAGUCUUCCACAGGCCUUCGCUGAGAGCAGCAGAGAGCAGAUGGCGCCCAAGGCCGGGACCCUCUGCUGCUCCCACAGGCCUCUCAGGCGGCUCUGCAGGACCAGCCAGCAGCCUCUGAUGCUCCCUUCCUAUUCCAUGGCUUCAGGUGCCAUCCUCUCCACAGAGACGGUUUCUAUUGUGACGCUCUCCCUGACUUGGAAGAAUGGCACUGGGAACAUUCCCCUUGGUGCUGAUGUUGGGGAGGAAAGCAGUUUCCAGUCGCCUGGGGCCAGGACAUGGCGUUCCCAGCUGUUGUGGAGCAUGAAGCACCAGGAUGCCCAUUCAGGUGCCUGCUGAGAUCAGGCUCUUUGAGAAGGAAUCCUGUGGUCACCUGAGGAAGUCCAAAAAAAUUUCGAGGACAUCUCAGCCAUCCAUCCCCUGUUCACUGUGGAGGUUGAACACCGGGGCUCCUGGAGGGGGGGCCCUGGGUCUCCACAGAAGUGCUGGCAGCCACCAUCCACUUCCUGGCCUUCCGUGCCCGCUCCACCUCUGUUCUGUUGUUUACCGUCUCCUUUGUGGGAAUUAUGGAAUAAACAAUCACUCUGGUGUCCUGGAAAAUAAACCUGAUGCUGGAGGGCUUGAGUGUAGGAAUCCAGCUGGGCUCCCGCUGUCUGCCCCAGGGUGCGGAGUUAGGCUUUGCAUAAGCAUGUGAGAUGCCACCCGCUAUGAAACGUGGUCUACACAGCACCAAAAAUCCAUUUCCCACGUUUUCCCUUCAGUGCAGUUAAAUGGCAUGACCCUGUGACUGUCUCCCACGAGAAGAACUAAAAAUUACGCCGGUCCUGCCAAUGCCUACAGGAUACGGUGGCACAAAAUGAUUUCCACGGUCUUAGGAUAUAGACCCAGGCCGACUCGAGAGAUUAAGUGGAUUUCAAACUGUGGUCUUGAGCCUUCUGGGAACUGCCCGAAAGGAGGGGAAGGCGCCAGCCUCGGAGUGGUCCAGCUGCCCGGCCUGUUCACACACUGGCCUUUCAGUUGAAGACAGUGUUCAAAGCUUACCCGUGUAAAUGCCACUGAUCUGUGAACCCCCUUCCUGUCAUGCCCAGGGCCUGGCAGACUGUGGCUAGAAGGGUGGGAUCAGAGCAGUGGGUCACGUGACCUGCGCACGGGUGUGCUGGCCUCCCUGGGCCGCAGUGGCCAGGACAGCCUUCCUUUCCCUUUCCAGCCACACAGGGCAAUCCGUGUGCUCAGAUUUCUGUCUCAUCAAUUACAGAGCGAGCUGCCAACCUGCUGUGCUGAG